GCCGGGAUCGCAUAAUAUGGUAUUGCACUGGAUUGCUAAUCCAGGCCCUUCGGGGCGUCUGGGUUCAAAUCCCAGUCCCGGCG
RNAcentral lists this transfer RNA (83 nucleotides) under Candidatus Woesearchaeota archaeon. RNAcentral describes it as "tRNA-Ser". It matches the Rfam family "tRNA". Rfam says of the family: Transfer RNA (tRNA) molecules are approximately 80 nucleotides in length. Their secondary structure includes four short double-helical elements and three loops (D, anti-codon, and T loops). Lineage: Archaea; Nanobdellati; Candidatus Woesearchaeota. The record is from RNAcentral.